UUAUGAAAUACUCAAUUUCUCAUUUUAUUUAAACUUAUUUAUAAUUAUGUUUCUUUAAUAUAAAGUUAACAAAAUGUUGAAGUGUACACAUUUUUACCUCACUUAUUUUUAACGGCAUGAAUUGGACAAACAAAUUGUUGAGGUGGAAAGCAAUUAUUUUUCUGUAAAUAUUGACCUUUAAGUCUUUCCUCCUAAACAAAAUCAGAAUAAUUAAAUGUAAUGGACUCACUGAUGUGCACACAAUCAUUUUGAAACAUAAUUUAAAGUACAAACAUCCUUGUUUAUUUUUUUUGCUAUUGUAACAUUGUACCAGUGUAGAUGGUCUCCAACAGACUCAGAAAGUAUGUUUUAGCCAGAGCCACUCCGCCACCAGUAGUGUUUCUGCAUACCGUAAUUUGCAUAAACAUGAGUAAUUUAUGAAUAAUAAAUGCCCUAGCAUUCAGCUGGAGCUGAUAAUUUGCAUAUCAGUGCCGCCUUAGUGCCGUGUUAUCAUGAAGCCCUUCAAGCCUGCAUAAACCAAAAUCAAAGAAAUAGUGCUUUAACAGGCCAACCCCACCGCCCUGCCCAUCCCCGAGCUCACGCUCACCAGCAGAACUGGCUGAAUGUUGUUGAUUUCCUGACCCAAGUGGAUGCGGAUCAGCGGAAAGGCCCCGACAACUCCUUCUCUGCCAGACCAAGGAGCUCGUCUCAGAAUCUUCGUCCAAAACUUUGACCACACAGACACCAGGAUGAGACUCUGAUGGAAGGGGCCAGAGAGAGAGCAAAGUCCCUUGAUGUUCAAAAUAAAUCUGACAGGCCCUACUGGAGUCGAGCAAAAGAGGCUUCAACUUGUUGAGAGUCAUUGGGGGAAGCAGUGUCCGGGGGCGGGGGGGUCAGUUUCCCCCGGGACCGCUGUAAAGGACUCCGGCGGCCCUCCAACCGCGCCCUCUGAUGGGCUGCAGUCAGAGGUCAAAGGUCAUAUGAAGCAACAUGGUAUGAAUAUGUAACCUUGUGACACACAAACUGGAUCAAAAGACAAAUGGACUCUCUGAAGGAGAUCAUGAUUGGAUCCUAAAUACGGGCAAAGUGACCUAAUUCUCAGAAACGUCGGACAAAUCGGUUUCUCUAAUGUGAUGGCUUGUUUAUUUCAAUUUAUUGCCUUGAACACGUUCCAAUAUUUUUUUCCUUUCUCCUUAUGCAUUCAAAACAACCCAAAAAAAAAAAAACUGCAAAAAACAAAUAAAUAAACACAACCCAAAAGCCGUUCAUUGUUCUCAGGCUAACUAACUAAUUUUCUCCUUUAACCAGAGCAAUGCUCAGCAUUCACACCUCACAUUCCACUCGCCCUCACAGUUCCUAAAAAACAAUGCCUUUAAAUUGUCUUAAUUUGAGCAUAGACUGGUUUUACAGCUGUGCGUGGGAGGAGCUGGAGGUUGAAGUGCUCCAUGAAUGUGAUGUGAAUUAUCUUCCUAAUGAAAUAUAAUACUGAAAAUGAACUCUGCUGGACCUAAGGCACGCAGAACAAUAAGGGGAGAUGAAGAAAAAGAAGCAGUUGUGUUUGCGCAUGUGCCUCUGUGUGUACGCUCUCAAAUUUGUGCACGUUUUAAAAGUGCAUGCAAUUGCUAAAAUGCAUAAAAGUUAUGUUUAAAAAAAAUAAAACUGCGUUCAUUCUUUUAUUGAAGUGGAAAUCCCCAAGAAUACAAAAUGAUGCACACUGCACUUCCUUUGUCCUACUUUAAGCCCCACUUUUGCUGGAGUGCAUCAAAGUUCCUGCAACGAAGAAGAAUGGAUGAAGACGGCAUUGACUUUCCCCCAAUUUUUUUUAAUAAACUGUCAGUCACCUGCAGCAGUGACUGACACUGAUAUCAUAUGAUGCAGCAUUCCAUAUAAAAGAUCUCUUAUUCUUCUUCCGGCUCAAUCUGAGGCCUGUCCUCCCUUCGUAUUAUCACCAUCAUCGCUCCAACAUGAAAGGGGAGAAACAAGUGCUGCACCGCUGCCAAAGAGAGACCUUGAUCUCCGAGCAUUUGCAUUCGCCACCUUCGCUCUGCUGGAUGUAUGAACAAGUUACCAAGGGGCCCUCUGAUUGGACGGUACUGAAAAGCAAGAAUUCUGCUAAUGCACAAAACAAGCAGGCUGACGCCCUACCCCUCCUCCACGCACUGUCACACACGGUCGGUGGCACUAGAGGGCAGUCCACUCUGUUGGUUUUAUGUUGUGAAGGAACGGUGAAAUAAAGUCACAUGGAGGGGCGUGGGACACAGCGGGAGUUUUUUUUUUUUUUUAUUAUUCCUUAAACGUUGUGGGGAAAUGUGCAAAGAUCAUUUCAAAUCACUUCUCUUUAAGACUCAAAAUUCUACUCAUCCAUCUGGAUUUCCCAUUUAUCUUGAUUUUAGUUGACAUUUUUUUAACCAACCACAAAGUACACUAAAAACUAUUUGGUUUUUGGGGUAUGGUCCUCUCUGAAAUUGAAGCAGAGCUGCUCCUUAAUACAGAAAAAAUGCCAACUUUAACCCUAACUCUAAUUUCCCUCAUAAUACCAGGAUAAAAUUAGAAACAGGGCCUUUUAUCUAUGUCACAGAACUCUUUUCACAUUAAAAGUGUGAGCGUGUGAGCACACAUUUCAAUAGAAGUCCUAUUAUUGCAAUAUUUUUGUGAUGGUAUCCAGAAAGCUGCAGAGUUAAGAUCUAAAAAAAAAUAAAAAAAGGAAAGUGUUGAUCAGAGACGAUGAAAAAAACGUGUGAUUAUCACAGGAGCACACUCACCUUUUCAUUUUUACUACACACCUUUUGUGGAUUCACACUUUGACAAUGAUCGAGAAUACCAUUUAAACAUUUUUGGCAAGUGGUGGAAAUAAAACUUAUUGGUUUGUUUCAUGGUGGAAAAUAUUGUUUUAUACAUAUUUUUUUAUACAUUACAUACUAUGUUUUAAAUUUUCACAUUAUAUUCAUUACAAAAAGACUAAAAAGUAAUUGGCUGGGCAAUGUAGGUCACCACUAAUCCCCUCCCUUUGUUUCACUUUGCAUAACUAAAAAUUUCAGUGUAUUCGUUUGUUUAAAUGUGGAUUUUUUUGGCCAAAUAGAAAUUAAUAAACCUUUUUGCUAUCAUCA
Oryzias latipes (Japanese medaka) is the source of this 3086-nucleotide non-coding RNA. NCBI's taxonomy places the organism in Eukaryota, Metazoa, Chordata, Actinopteri, Beloniformes, Adrianichthyidae. The record is from RefSeq and is a predicted model, not a curated record.